CGGGGUGCAGCAGGCGCGAAAACUUUACAAUGCGGGAAACCGUGAUAAGGGGACACCGAGUGCCAGCAUCAUAUGCUGGCUGUCCAGGUGUGCAAAAUACACCUGUUAGCAAGGGCCGGGCAAGACCGGUGCCAGCCGCCGCGGUAACACCGGCGGCCCGAGUGGUGAUCGUGAUUAUUGGGUCUAAAGGGUCCGUAGCCGGUUUGGUCAGUCCUCCGGGAAAUCUGACAGCUUAACUGUUAGGCUUUCGGAGGAUACUGCCAGACUUGGAACCGGGAGAGGUAAGAGGUACUACAGGGGUAGGAGUGAAAUCUUGUAAUCCCUGUGGGACCACCUGUGGCGAAGGCGUCUUACCAGAACGGGUUCGACGGUGAGGGACGAAAGCUGGGGGCACGAACCGGAUUAGAUACCCGGGUAGUCCCAGCCGUAAACGAUGCUCGCUAGGUGUCAGGCAUGGCGCGACCGUGUCUGGUGCCGCAGGGAAGCCGUGAAGCGAGCCACCUGGGAAGUACGGCCGCAAGGCUGAAACUUAAAGGAAUUGGCGGGGGAGCAC
RNAcentral lists this ribosomal RNA (553 nucleotides) under uncultured archaeon. Its description in RNAcentral is "bacterial SSU rRNA". It matches the Rfam family "Archaeal small subunit ribosomal RNA", at positions 326 to 879 of the family's 1478-position model. The record is from RNAcentral.